Molecule: ribosomal RNA, 465 nt
Filed under: uncultured bacterium
Lineage: Bacteria
Description: partial 16S ribosomal RNA
Rfam family: Bacterial small subunit ribosomal RNA
Source: RNAcentral
GACGAACGCUGGCGGCGUGCUUAACACAUGCAAGUCGUACGGUAAGGCCCUUUCGGGGGUACACGAGUGGCGAACGGGUGAGUAACACGUGAGUAACCUGCCCACAACUUUGGGAUAACGCUAGGAAACUGGUGCUAAUACUGGAUAUGUGCUCCUGCUGCAUGGUGGGGGUUGGAAAGCUCCGGCGGUUGUGGAUGGACUCGCGGCCUAUCAGCUUGUUGGUGGGGUAGUGGCCUACCAAGGCGGCGACGGGUAGCCGGCCUGAGAGGGUGACCGGCCACAUUGGGGCUGAGAUACGGCCCAGACUCCUACGGGGGGCAGCAGUGGGGAAUAUUGCACAAUGGGCGCAAGCCUGAUGCAGCAACGCCGCGGGCGGGAAGACGGGCUUUGGGUUGUAAACCGCUUUCAGCAGGGACGAAGCUUUUUGUGACGGUACCUGCAGAAGAAGCACCGGCUAACUACGUG